GAUGAACGCUGGCGGCGUGCCUAAUACAUGCAAGUCGAGCGAACAGACGAGGCGCUUGCUCCUCUGACGUUAGCGGCGGACGGGUGAGUAACACGUGGAUAACCUACCUAUAAGACUGGGAUAACUUCGGGAAACCGGAGCUAAUACCGGAUAAUAUAUUGAACCGCAUGGUUCAAUAGUGAAAGACGGUUUUGCUGUCACUUAUAGAUGGAUCCGCGCCGCAUUAGCUAGUUGGUAAGGUAACGGCUUACCAAGGCAACGAUGCGUAGCCGACCUGAGAGGGGGAUCGGCCACACUGGAACUGAGACACGGUCCAGACUCCUACGGGAGGCAGCAGUAGGGAAUCGUCCGCAAUGGGCGAAAGCCUGACGGAGCAACGCCGCGUGAGUGAUGAAGGUCUUCGGAUCGUAAAACUCUGUUAUUAGGGAAGAACAAAUGUGUAAGUAACUAUGCACGUCUUGACGGUACCUAAUCAGAAAGCCACGGCUAACUACGUG
This 497-nucleotide ribosomal RNA is filed under the name uncultured bacterium. RNAcentral describes it as "partial 16S ribosomal RNA". It matches the Rfam family "Bacterial small subunit ribosomal RNA", at positions 28 to 507 of the family's 1533-position model. The record is from RNAcentral.